UUCUGCUUUUCUCUCAUUUAUUUAUUUGUUAAUUCAAUCAUUUAUUUAUAUCAGUAUGGGCUCAUGGAUAUAUAUGCUAUACUUUUAGUUAUGUUUCAAUGCUACAUCAUUUAUUUGGUUGCUCAAAUUUUUCCAGCUUUGGACCUGGGAGCCCACUCAAUGGACUCCUGCUCCCUGUGACAUACGCACUCAUCACUGUGUGUGUUUCUCGGCACUUCCUUACUUACAGGUACUAAGAGAUGCUCCAGGCCCUUCUUGCAUAUUUCCUGUUCCAGCCUUAGAAUCAGCCAUAUUUCCAAGGAGCUGCAGUUUCUUUUAUUAGAGAAUGGUGUGAGGAACCAAGAUCUGGGCAUUGAAUGUGUAAGCUGGGUUUUAAAGGACAGUGGACAAUAGAAAGGAACAGGAAUGGCAUUUGGAGUAGAAAGCUUGGCAUAAGCAAGUAUCCUGAGAAUGAAGAAAAUGAAUUCUAUGUGGGGAAGAGCAUAUACCUAGAUGGAAGCAUUUACACUGGUGAAAUAAAUCUUUCAGGCUUUAGGUCCAGACUGAAGUGUAAUAUUAUCCCAUCCCCCAACCCAUUUAUUCAUCACCUUUCUUCACAAUAGCUUCACCUUUUACCCAUUAGCUAAUGCAAAAGUCCUGGGAGCUAUUCUUUACUUCACUCUCCCUUUCCACUCAUAUGCAAUCAGUGAAAAAUAUUUCUUGAUUCUGCCUCCCAAUAAUUUUUAAACCUGUCUUCCACUGUCCAGAGCCACAUCUCCUGGCCAGGUACCUUCAAUGGUGGGUAAACCAGUUCCAACAUCCCUGGCAGCGUCUUCUCCCUGCAGCAGCCUUGCCACCUCUGGUGGUAUUCUCUACCAUGAUCAAGGCCAUUGGGCUUCCCAUUGAGUUUAAGGUGAAGCCUUCUGAGGCUGAUGGGCUGGGUGUGAUCUUUUCCUCACCAACCUGUCUACCUGACUCUCUGUUUUUGUAACCUGAGAUCCCACAGCAAGAUCUUCCAUCACUCCUCAAUCAAGCAUUGCAGUGGGACCUUUGGAGGAUGUGGCCUUUGUCCAGAUGCUUUUGCCUUAUCUGGCCUGGCUACCUGGUAUGACUAACUUCUUUCCAUUUUUGUUUUGCUGUCACUGCCUUGGGAAGACUUGUUUGCUCCAUGGUCAAGUAUGAUCCUCAAUACAGAUUCUCACACCAUACUAGGAGAAAAUGGGCCCAUAUUUUCAAUUUGUUGAUUCUAUUUAAAAUUUAUUCAGUAAAUACUUGCUCAGCAUUUAACUGUAUACUAAGAGGGUGUUCAAGGCGCUAGGCAUAGAGCAAUGAAAUGACAGAGUAAGAACCCCCUCCUCUUGGAGCUUAUAGUCCGAUGAGGAAGGCAGAAAACGUGUUGAGCAUUCAUCUGAAAAUCCAAAAUCUCAAAGGCUCCAAAAUCAAGCUUUUUGAGUGCCAGUGUCGCAGGUAGAAAACUCCACACAGAAUUACUUAACACAAACUUUGUUUUACACACAAAAUAUUAAACAUAUUUUAAUAUGAAGAUAUAUAUGAAACAAAUGAACUUUGUGUUUAGACUUAAGUUCCUUUCCCAAAAUGUCUCAUUUAUGUGUAUGCAAAUAUUCCUAAAUCUGAAAUCGCAAGCGCUUCUGGUCCGAGGCAGUUUGGAUAAGGGAUACGCAACAUGUAGCAAAUACAUAAAUAUGAUAUUUAGUAUAUCUGGAGCUGAUAAAUACUGUGGAGGAAAAAGGCAGGGGAGGCCAACAGGUGUGCAUGGAGUUGGGGGAGUCUUACAUUUACGUGGGUUGAUCAGAGAAAGCUUCAUUCAGAAGGUCGAUGCAUAAGCAAAGACUUGAAGGAGGGGAAGGAAGAACCCAUGCAGGUAGGAGGGGAAGAGCAUUCCAGGCAGAGGCCUGAGGGAGAGGUCGUGCCUGAUGAGCUCCAGAACAGCCAAGAAAUUUGAGUUUGAUAUGCCUGUGAAGCACAGAGGUCUAGAUAUCCAGUAGACAAUUUAUGCAUGACCUUGAGUUUAGGGUUGGAAACUUCAGGCUGGAAAUUGGGAGUUGUCACCUACAGAUGGCAUCUGAAGACAGGAGACUAGAGGAAGUCUCAGGAGGCUAAAUGUUCAGUGGCUGAGCUCUGGGACACCUGAGUUCUUUAGACUCAGAAGAUGAUAGUGGACCAGCAAAGGCACUGAAGAAUAGCUCGGAGGAAAACCAGGUAGGUCUGGUGUCCUGGAAACCACAGGAAGAAUGAGGAAGUGACCCACUACUAUUAAUUAGUACCAUCAUGUACAUGGGCACAUGUAUUUACAAUGUGCCCAUCACUGUUCUGAGUCUUGUAUGUAUAUUAACUCGUUACAUCCUCAUAAUCCCUAUGAGGUAUUUUGUUUUAUUAUCUCUGCUUUGCAAAUGGGAAGUCAGGCCCAGAGGUAAAUAAACUUGUCCAGUCACAUAGCUCACAAGCACUGGAGCUGGGGUUUGAAUCUGGACCAUCUAGUCUCAGGGUCAUUGGUCUUCAGCACCACAUCAUGUGUGCCCAAACACUGCAGGUGCAGGUGGAAAAGCUCAGCGCUGAGACGAAGCACUGUGGAUAUCUUCGGUGAGCUUAAAAGAGAAGCUUGGAGUGAGUCCUGGAGGAGAUAGAAUGAUUAGGGGCAGUCGAUGAGGCACGGGAGGAGAGAUGGUGAAGAUAGCAGCCAGAGACAACUCUCAUGAAUAGCUUGGCUGUGAAGGGGAGUGAGAAACGUUAGGAAGACUACAGGGAGAUGUGCAAUCAAAGAGGAAUUUUAGGAAGAAUGUUAGAAAUUAUGGUAUGUUUGUAGAUGGGUGGGACUGAAAGGGUAAAAAGGAAAAGAAUAAUGACCUAGGAGGAGAGAAGGUGAACCUUGCAUUUGUAACUGUGAUCUAGAGAAGAGAGAAUGUGAACCCUGCAUUUGUAACUGAAAAAUUAUUUGCUGAGCUGCUUAAUGUCAGUGAUCUCUGCCAAAGUAUAAACUGCUAGGGUUGGGGGAUUUUAGAUUUCCAGGUGCUGCUGUGGCUCCAUGUGCUCCACGUCCUUGCCUGGUGAAUGGGGGAAGGAAUCAUGCCACUGAUGAAGGUCAAAGCAGGGCUCCUGGUGCCCUGAACCUCCAUACCUUCCUGCCCCACCGCUGCCUGCAGACCCAGCUUUCUGCUCGCAGCCUGGGCAUGCCUUCUGCCUGUAUCCUCCCAUGAAGGCCAACUCCAAACCCACCAGGCAUUGCUGAGGAGUAAGUGGGAGGGAGAAGUCACAUGGCACAGGAUGCCGUGAAACUGCCCCAGAGCCCUUGGAAGUCUCCCCGGACAGCCACUUCACGCCUUUCCCUGGUUCCCAAACCUCAGUCCUGCCAGCUGCCUGGGCUCUACCUCUAUGCCACUGCUCCACAGGCUGCUUGGCUCUAUUCUCACUGCCCUUUGUUUCCCAGCCUUGGGUCAGGGACAGACCUCCAUCCAUUUCAUGGGAAGACUCCCUAAGGCCCAGAACUUCUCCAUCUCAGAGGGAUGAAUGGUGGUCAGCAGAGAUGCUUUCAGGAGUGAGGGAUCAGAGGCUCUGGGAAAUGCCUCACCAUUUCACAGAAGCCCUUUUCCUUCUGCCAACCCCCCAGGGGCAUUUAUAAAAUUCCAGAGUGAGAUUGAGAAGCUGAACUAACUCACCUGCAGGGCUGGGUCUCCCCCACCAGGCAGCCACAAUAGCCUGCAAGGCAUCUGCUGAGUGUGGGAGAAAUGCUGCUUUUCAACGUAGGUAUGAGGGCAGAACUCAUGCGUGUUUGUCAAAAAGGCCUCCCACAGUUUUUGAGGCAUCACACAUACACCUACUCACACUCCCCCAUGGAGGCAUGCUCUCCUCUCUCACACACGCACAUGCACGCAGGGACUCACACAUAUCACUCAUCAUGCCUCUCUCCCCUCCCCACACCGAGCUACCCUGCCGGCAGCACAGAGUGAACAGCGCCGUGCACCCAUCUGGGCCUGACCUGCCUACAUUGUUAGCCUAAAAUACUUUUAUCUGCGCAGCAGAGAAAAAGGAGCACAGACCUCACAGACAGACAGAUUGGGCUCAACAUGCACCUGGGCCUUGAGGAGAAUCUGCCUGUGCAGGGAGGCUCACAUGCUGACCGCGAGCAGACGGAACAAUCCUCGUUUGUUCAUGGAGAAACAAGACCACGGGUGACUCUGGGUAACUGAGACCUCAGGAAGUGAAACCUCAGAUAAAGGUGUAAUUUUUCUGAGCUGUUAAAAAUAUAACUGGGAAGAUAAACAGAAACUCCAAGAAUAUCUUAUCUGCGUUGAUCCACCAGUGUGUGUCUGUGACGGAGGCCUGAAUUGUAUGCUGCCAUGUGGGUGGCCAGAGAGAAGGUGAGCCUACGGUGGAGAGCAGUCCUGUGGUAGGAUGACAGGGAGGAUGGAAGCAGCACUGGAGACCUGGGAGAACUGGGAUGCCUGUUUGGAGAGAGGGUGUGGCGUUGGGCAGGUAGGUAGAGGGAAGGUCUCUGUUCAGCAGCAUAGCACAGCACAGGGGACACGACCCAGAACUAGGGCCAUGUGCUAUGAACUGAUGGGCAGCUCUAAUUACUUUUCUAAAUUUUGGGCCCAGUGACAUUUUCUUUCCUGCCCCAUGGGUCAGGUUGGUUUUAGAAGUGAGACAUUUAUUUUAUUCUCCUUCAAAAACAAACUUUACAUCAUUGAUCUGCCACUAAAAAAUGUUUGUGUAAAAUUCCUGCCUCGAAGCCAGUGCCUGUGACUCAGAUGGCGUGCAUUUCAAAAGUCUCUCAACAUAAUUUCACAUAAAAAAGAAACAUCUUACGUUGGGCCAACUCUGCUGAAACCAACUGCCUUGUAUCACUAAUAUGUAGCUGGAUUGAUUCAUGAUGUACAUCUUCAAAGACCUGGAUAAUCAUCUUUGUUUGCAAAUUCCUUAUUAACAUGGAGAUAAAUGCUAUCAUAAAUUUGAACUUUUAUAUUAUGAGCUGAAUUUUUUGGUCUUUAAAAUUUAUUUCCAGAAUAUUCGAUAGCAUGACUCUAAGGCUGGAUGGCUCUUUCCCAACUGGACACGGUUUGAGAUUUUUUUGUCUCCUUUUUCUUCAUGCGAGAUGAUAAACACUUAAUAAGAAGAUGGAACUUAUGGAAAGUAGCCAGAAGAAAAUAGCAUUCUACCGAUGGAAUUCCACUUCAGAUGCUGUGCUGGAAAGAAAUCCUCAUCCUGGGCUCCUUUUGCCUUUUGAUGAUGGCUUUAAAAACUGUGAAAACAGCGAAAGCCAAGUGUGUGGUCUUCAGCAAUUUCGUAAUAGUCUGUGCAGGAGACAGAGGGGGCGGUGGUUUGCUGGAAAAAAUGAUUAACUUUUUCUUUACGAUGACAGAAAACAGUUGCAAUUCAAAAAUGCCGAGGUUUCUGCAGCCCUCCCUUUUGGCAAAUUGUUAGGUAAUCACUUCUUCCAGGUGGCACUUUCAAUAAAGACCUUGGAAAGUCACGCCCCUUCCAGAGAUGUCCUCAGGGCAGAGCCAUUGUCAACUGGGAGAAACUUGUAGAAUGAGUGAGGGCAGGGUUAGAGGAAAGGCUCUAAAUUUUUCUUGUUGGGGGUAGCGGGGUAGAUUUGCUGUUGAUUUCCCAGAGUGGGUUCCCAUGCCUCAGUCUUGGUCUAAUGCGCGUUACAGUCUGCCUCUCAGCUUCUCCAGCAGAACCAAGGGAACCCUCCUCACAUCCUAUGAUUAUAUUUGUUAUUAUUUACUUUAAGUUAUCCCAGGAAGCAGCAGGCCCACCCUAAUUGAGAGGUCUGUCCACAUACAAGUCAGCUUAGUAAAACAGGUUCUAAUUAAGUAAUUACCUUGAUUAAAAUAUACCAACCAUUUUUACUUUUUAAUAAACAUUUCCCAAGACUGGAUUUUAUCCUGUUAUUUUGGUAGAAAUUUGUUUAACCUGGUGUGGAACUGGAACCCAGAGCUAACACUGUCCACCUGUGGAUAUGUGUGGUUUCCCUUAUUUGUAACAUGGAGUAGAAACAUAGCAGAUGCUCUGCAAGGUGCAGGAAAAGCCAGGUGCAUCUAUCAGGUCAAUUCAAAGUUCCUUUUUGAGUACAGUGCUGGACUUAGGUCAUGUAGAGGCAUAAAAGCCAAUUUAACUGUGCACAGUCCAGUAAGGGACAGACAUUUGCAAAAGUAUAUCAAUACAUGAUGCAAAUGUUAAGCUAGAGUUACGCACAGGUGCUCUAGAUAAUUGUGACAUUUGAAGGCAUGUAUUUUGACUACAUUGGUCAUUCCUGUGGUAAACUGACAAGGAUUGAGCCCUGCUGAGGUACAUGGUCCUUGCAGACACUUGAGUCCUGGAUAGUAUGCAAGUAGAUAAAAGAGAAUCCCUGUGACUCUACCCCAGUGACUCUACCCCAAGUCGUCAAGAUGUGGGCAUCACCUGACUCCAUCUGGUCAGCCUCCUAGCAGAGGAGGCCCUUUUCUGUUGCUGAAUUUACAACUGCUUCAUGCCCAUUGGCUCCUUGGAAAUUCAAUCCCAAUUCAUCUAAAACUCCUCAGGGUCAAAAUAGUUCCUGAAAAUGAAUUUUGCUGAAGCUUGCUUUUGGGUGCCUGUGACUUCAAAUCCUUAUCCUCUGCAUCUUCAAGAUUCUGGUCUGGUUACUUAGGCAAAUUUCUCAGUAGCUCUGGAAAAUUCGCAACGAUUUAAACCAUUUUUUUUCUUUAGCCUCUCUGGGACCUAUGACUCUUUGCAUGUUGAGGUUUUGAAUUCCUUUGCAUGACAAAUUCUCUGGUGGUUACAACAGAGAAGAAGGAAGAGAGGUGAUCAGGGUCUCAUGAGGAAAACCAUACCUAGAUAGUUUGCUCAAAGAGAGUGCUGUUAAUUCAAAGAGGCUGGUCUUCCUGAGAGAUUCCUUAACCCAAGGCAAUUCAAAAGUUGGUGUUUGAGUGUGCGAGAGAGGCCCCAUGUUAUGAAGGCAUGUCAGAAAAAUGAUUAUGGCUGGGUAUUAACUUGAGAUCUAGGCUGUGAAAGAACAGUAGGUUUUUUUUUUUUUUUUC
This 7019-nucleotide long non-coding RNA is filed under the name Homo sapiens (human). RNAcentral describes it as "HSALNT0372115". The record is from RNAcentral. Lineage: Eukaryota; Metazoa; Chordata; Mammalia; Primates; Hominidae.